RNAcentral lists this ribosomal RNA (444 nucleotides) under uncultured bacterium. RNAcentral's name for it is "bacterial SSU rRNA". It matches the Rfam family "Bacterial small subunit ribosomal RNA", at positions 354 to 796 of the family's 1533-position model. The record is from RNAcentral.
GUAGGGAAUAUUGGGCAAUGGGCGAGAGCCUGACCCAGCCAUGCCGCGUGCCGGAUGAAGGCCUUCUGGGUUGUAAACGGCUUUUCUCAGGGAAGAAAACGGGUCUGCGGACCACACUGACGGUACCUGAGGAAUAAGCACCGGCUAACUCCGUGCCAGCAGCCGCGGUAAUACGGAGGGUGCAAGCGUUGUCCGGAUUUAUUGGGUUUAAAGGGUGCGUAGGUGGCCUGUUAAGUCCGGGGUGAAAGCCCACAGCUCAACUGUGGAACUGCCCUGGAUACUGGCGGGCUUGAGAGUAGUAGAGGGUGGCGGAAUAGACGCUGUAGCGGUGAAAUGCAUAGAUAGCGUCUAGAACCCCGAUUGCGAAGGCAGCUGCCUAUGCUACAUCUGACACUGAGGCACGAAAGCGUGGGGAGCGAACAGGAUUAGAAACCCUAGUAGUCC